RNAcentral lists this long non-coding RNA (354 nucleotides) under Rattus norvegicus (Norway rat). Its description in RNAcentral is "long non-coding RNA NONRATT014404". The record is from RNAcentral. Lineage: Eukaryota; Metazoa; Chordata; Mammalia; Rodentia; Muridae.
CCAGGCAGCUGCAGAGCAGCCCUAGGCGUCCUGGAGUGGGGAAAAAAGCAACCCUUGUCCUCCGAGUCACCUAGCAACAGCCUGCACCGCUGCCCACGUGUGGGGCCGUCUUUCACCCAGAAAGAACCAAAGCUUUUCCAUCGUAUGGAAGUAGGGUAAAAGUAAUCUACAAUGUGGCUACUGGGCUGUCCUGACCCGGGAGAUACCCCAGGCCUGCGCCUCCUUAGAGGGCACAAAGUGGCCGCCCAUCUAGGCACAGAGGAAGAGCACUUCUGAUCUUGCUGUCCACACCUCUGUCAGAGCCAGCGUGGCAGUAAAGAUUCAUCCCUAAAUAAAAGAAGUACCUGCUGUACA